GACGGGGGAUGCAAGCGUUAUCCGGAAUCACUGGGCGUAAAGCGUCUGUAGGUGGUGAUGCAAGUCACUGGUGCAAAACUCUGGCUCAACCGGAGGAAAGCCAGUGAAACUGCAUGACUUGAGUGUGGGAGAGGUAGAAGGAAUUCCCUGAGUAGCCGUGAAAUGCGUAGAUACAUGGAAGAACACCGGAGGCGAAAGCGUUCUACUGGAACACAACUGACACUGAGAGUCGAAAGCUAGGGGGGUGAAUGGG
Molecule: ribosomal RNA, 253 nt
Filed under: uncultured bacterium
Lineage: Bacteria
Description: partial 16S ribosomal RNA
Rfam family: Bacterial small subunit ribosomal RNA
Source: RNAcentral